GUGAAAACAACUCCAACAACUUUGUAAAAGUUUUCAUCAAUGUUCACAAAUCAGCCGUUUCAGAAAUAAUUGUUCAUGAAAAUGUUCAUUAAAAUCAGAGGUGACGUUUGGACAGUAGCCAAGCAGGGCAAUGUUUGUCCAUCAGUUUCUAUUUAUGGCCAAAUAUUAUGUUGCUAGGUAACAGCCAGCUCUAUCAGAGUUAUCAAAUUAGCAUUAGCAGCUCAGUGAGCGGCAGAAACGUAUAUGUCUGAUGUCAUCUGUUCCCUUCUGCAGCCUCAAAGAGAAACACAAAGAAAUGUUCCAGCGGAAGAUGCAGAAGCUACUGUUGGAACUGACUAACAUCAGUGACACAAAAACCACACAAACGCCAGUAAAUGGUGUUUAUUUGUCUGGCCAUUGUAAUUUACUGUGACUAAAUGGAUGCUGAAAUAUUGACAAAUCCUUUCCAAGGAUCCAUAAAACGAGCUAUCUCACAAAGGAGUGCUCUAGACACAAACUAUAAAAAGUCUUGGUCUGGCAGGUUGCCUGAAGGGCAAGUGAAAACAAAGGCCACCUACGCACAGACUAUCAGUGACAAGAGAAAGACGGCCAGACAGGCAAUCCCACCAGGAACACUUUCACCUGAGCCGCAGACAAAAGCAGUUGCUGGGAGAAAAGCGCUGCGGGUCAGACAUCACAGUAACCCGCCUCCUUCUGCUUCUGGUCUUCUCUGGUACAAAUGCACAGUUGUCCAGUCAGCCAGCUGGUCAUGACUGUCAGCAGGACCUCGGCUCGGGCUGCGGAUGGAGGCCAGAUGUGUUUGACCAGCUGAACUGUGCAGUUUGUUCUACGACAAGAACCGUAACCUCAGAGAGGCGACGCGGGCAGAAGUGAGAAACAAAGCCAACUGAUUUGUGGUGCAGGAUGAUUACUUCAUGAUUACUUGAUUAACUUGGUUUUUAUUUGUUUUUUUUCUCACAGGAAAUUCAUAGAAAAAUGUCUUUUGUAGCAGGUGUCACUUCCUGUAUGCAUUCAACAUACCAAUUUUUUUCUGUUUUGAAGUAAAAUUUUCUUCAAUCUCAUUUAUUUAUUUUGAUUUAUUUGUGUUUUACAUGUAUGGUGACCCCAAAAAAAUCACUUAUAUUUAUCAUUUUUUCCUAUUUAUCAACAACUCCAU
This 1156-nucleotide long non-coding RNA is filed under the name Oreochromis niloticus (Nile tilapia). RNAcentral describes it as "lncRNA (ENSONIG00000029985.1)". The record is from RNAcentral. Lineage: Eukaryota; Metazoa; Chordata; Actinopteri; Cichliformes; Cichlidae.